UCCGAAGGGCAUGCCUGUUCGAGCGUCAUUUCACCAAUCAAGCCUGGCUUGGUGUUGGGCCCCGGGGGUGACCCGGGCCCCAAUGUCCGCCGGCCGGACGACCCGGACCUCAGCGUUAUGGCACUGUAAAGUUCCGCUGGAGGGGAAGGGUUGGCCGCGCCGUCAACGAAAACACUUCUGAAAGGUUGACCUCGGAUCAGGUAGGGAUACCCGCUGAACUUAAGCAUAUCAAUAAGCGGAGGAAAAGAAACCAACAGGGAUUGCCCUAGUAACGGCGAGUGAAGCGGCAACAGCUCAAAUUUGAAAUCUGGCGCAAGCCCGAAUUGUAAUUUGUAGAGGAUGCUUCGAGGCAGCGGCCGGUCUAAGUUCCUUGGAACAGGACGUCAUAGAGGGUGAGAAUCCCGUACGUGACUGGUUGGCACCUCACACGUAGCUCCUUCGACGAGUCGAGUUGUUUGGGAAUGCAGCUCUAAAUGGGAGGUAAAUUCCUUCUAAAGCUAAAUACCGGCCAGAGACCGAUAGCGCACAAGUAGAGUGAUCGAAAGAUGAAAAGCACUUUGGAAAGAGAGUUAAAAAGCACGUGAAAUUGUUGAAAGGGAAGCGCUUGCAACCAGACUUGACGGCGGCGUUCAACCGGUCUUCUGACCGGCCCACUCGUCGCCGGCAGGCCAGCAUCGUCUCGGGCCGCCGGAGAAAGGCGUGAGGAAUGUGGCUCCUCCGGGAGUGUUAUAGCCUCGCGCACAAUACGGCGCGCCUGGGGCGAGGUCCGCGU
RNAcentral lists this ribosomal RNA (772 nucleotides) under fungal sp. genotype 729 JMUR-2016. Its description in RNAcentral is "eukaryotic LSU rRNA". The stretch from base 187 to 772 matches the Rfam family "Eukaryotic large subunit ribosomal RNA", at positions 1 to 600 of the family's 3401-position model. The record is from RNAcentral. Lineage: Eukaryota; Fungi.